This is an RNA transcript of Myzus persicae (green peach aphid), 1648 nucleotides long. RefSeq lists it as uncharacterized. The record is from RefSeq and is a predicted model, not a curated record. The transcript has 5 exons. Lineage: Eukaryota; Metazoa; Arthropoda; Insecta; Hemiptera; Aphididae.
GGUACACACAAUAAUUUGUUACUAAUCUUGAGCAUAUAAUUAAAACUAUACUUAUAAAGUUAUAACAGUUAUAACCAUUCAGUGUUCUUAAACCAACCGUUCGAGAGUAUAUAAGUUUACAAAUUAACCAAACAAUAAAUCAACAAAAUACCAUAUUAUAUUAUAAUCAUGUACUAUAAACUUAUUAAUAUAAUAUCAUAUAUCACCUGUUGUAUUUGCUCACUUAAAAUAUCUUCUAUAACACCGGAAUAUCAAUAUAUAGACACGCCGAGUACACGAGUAACAAUUAUGUGAAUGAAGUUUUAAACAUUUUGAAAGAAUGUGAUCCAUGGGUACAUCCACGAUUGUUCAAGAAUGAAAUUAAAAACGUCCUUUUUACACUAUAACGAUAAAAUAUAUAUAUAUAUAUAUAUAUUGGAAAAUUAACAUUUAAUUAACUACGUCGUUGCUAUGACCAAAUAUGGAGAUUUAUGUUUUUUAACGACUAUGUGUAAUUCGAAUAAACUGAUUACUUUAUUAUUAAAAAAUAUUAUAAGUGGAUAAACAAGUAAGGUCUGAUUACAGCAGACGAUUUAUAUUCUUAUGACACGACUUAAUUCUAUUAAAAAAAAAAUUAGUCUCACCGAUUAUUUUUCAACUAGUAAAUGGAGCCGACGGAUUGAAAAUUUGAAAUUGUUGGGUUCCCAGACUCGUCGAUUUGAAAUUUAUCAUAUUCCAGUGAUAACCUAUACGAUAUUUACCUUCUAUAACUAUAAAGGUUAGAACAACCGCGCUCACACUUGCCCUGUUUUUUACGACUGCAGUGGCAUUUGUGGGAUGGUACCGGUGGAGGAAUCGCAAAAUUAGACGAGAGAUACUACAGUCUUGCAAAGAUUGCAAAAACAAUAACGAUGUGAGUGAUUAAAUAAUGAAAUAAUAUUAUCUUCUGAUAACGGUGAUGAUGGUGAUGUAAAAUAAUAACAAUAAUAUAACAACUAUCACGGAAUCAGCAAAAUAAUUGAUCGUUAAAUGUAUAUAAUAUAGGGCAAAGGAUUCGAUGAUCAAGUGACCAAAGAUAACUUGUCGGUGAUUCUAAAAGGCAAUCGGUUUGUAUUGUUUUUUAUCAAUGGGUUGAUUCUCCUUGGAUACUUCCUCAGAAUGUUACCGAACGGAUUCACUUCCCAUCUAAUCCUUUUCCUAAUACUAGUAUACACCUUUCACAUGCUAAUGUCAAAGUGUUAUGCGAUUAACGUAGUUUGGUGUCAUGGAAUCAUGUCCAUAAACGCUGACAUUGAUAUAACGUUAUUUCCAAAAUUAAGAAUUUUAAAAAUAUUUCACAUCAGCGCCAGCGGUGAAACAACGACACAGCAAUAAAAUAGUAUAUGCUUAUGAAAAUUAUAUAAGCCUGAAAAAACAAAUUGAGAAAAAUAUCAAAAUUUCCGAUGAAUUUGAAGUUAAAAUUGUAUACGAGUAAGGUCAAUAUUAUACUAUGUAAGUGAUGGUUAAGUAUUGAGAUUUGGCAGAAAAAAAUUUUACUAACAAAAAAUUAACACACAAUUGUGGAAAAAUGUUUUAACCAGUUUACCACCCCCCAAAAUGAAUCUAAAAUUAAUUAUAUUCAUUUGAUUUUAUAAUGUCUGUUUAUGUUUUUCAUAGUUAUUAUGAGCAA